RNAcentral lists this small nucleolar RNA (62 nucleotides) under Euglena gracilis. RNAcentral's name for it is "Eg-m99.4". The record is from RNAcentral. Lineage: Eukaryota; Euglenozoa; Euglenophyceae; Euglenales; Euglenaceae.
UGAUGACUGUAUCCAUGCACCACUCUGCAGUCAUUGUGGAGGUGACUCCCAACGAUCUGAUG